RNAcentral lists this ribosomal RNA (399 nucleotides) under uncultured rhodophyte. RNAcentral's name for it is "bacterial SSU rRNA". It matches the Rfam family "Bacterial small subunit ribosomal RNA", at positions 356 to 770 of the family's 1533-position model. The record is from RNAcentral. Lineage: Eukaryota; Rhodophyta.
GGGGAAUUUUCCGCAAUGGGCGAAAGCCUGACGGAGCAAUACCGCGUGAGGGAAGAAUGCCCGUGGGUUGUAAACCUCUUUUCUUAGGGAAGAAGCUCUGACGGUACCUAAGGAAUAAGCAUCGGCUAACUCCGUGCCAGCAGCCGCGGUAAUACGGAGGAUGCAAGCGUUAUCCGGAAUCACUGGGCGUAAAGCGUCUGUAGGUGGCUUAGAAAGUCCGCUGUUAAAUCUUAGGGCUCAACCCUAAACCAGCAGUAGAAACUUCUAGGCUAGAGUAUGGUAGGGGCAGAGGGAAUUCCCAGUGUAGCGGUGAAAUGCGUAGAUAUUGGGAAGAACACCAGCGGCGAAAGCGCUCUGCUAGGCCAUUACUGACACUCAGAGACGAAAGCUAGGGGAGCA